AAUCAACGCUGGCGGCGUGCCUAACACAUGCAAGUCGAACGCGAAAACCCCGCAAGGGGUUAGUAGAGUGGCAAACGGGUGAGUAACGCGUGGGUGACCUACCUCAGAGUGGGGGAUAACCUUCCGAAAGGAGGGCUAAUACCGCAUGACAUACCGUGGUUGGAUACACGGAUAUCAAAGCCGGGGAUCGCAAGACCUGGCGCUUGGAGAGGGGCCCGCGUCCGAUUAGCUAGUUGGUGAGGCACGGCUCACCAAGGCGACGAUCGGUAUCCGGCCUGAGAGGGCGGACGGACACACUGGGACUGAGACACGGCCCAGACUCCUACGGGAGGCAGCAGUGGGGAAUUGUUCGCAAUGGGCGCAAGCCUGACGACGCAACGCCGCGUGGAGGAUGAAGACCU
This 401-nucleotide ribosomal RNA is filed under the name uncultured bacterium. RNAcentral describes it as "bacterial SSU rRNA". It matches the Rfam family "Bacterial small subunit ribosomal RNA", at positions 29 to 417 of the family's 1533-position model. The record is from RNAcentral.